This 74-nucleotide transfer RNA is filed under the name Bifidobacteriaceae bacterium. RNAcentral describes it as "tRNA-Gly". It matches the Rfam family "tRNA". From Rfam's summary of the family: Transfer RNA (tRNA) molecules are approximately 80 nucleotides in length. Their secondary structure includes four short double-helical elements and three loops (D, anti-codon, and T loops). Further hydrogen bonds mediate the characteristic L-shaped molecular structure. tRNAs have two regions of fundamental functional importance: the anti-codon, which is responsible for specific mRNA codon recognition, and the 3' end, to which the tRNAs corresponding amino acid is attached (by aminoacyl-tRNA synthetases). tRNAs cope with the degeneracy of the genetic code in two manners: having more than one tRNA (with a specific anti-codon) for a particular amino acid; and 'wobble' base-pairing, i.e. permitting non-standard base-pairing at the 3rd anti-codon position. The record is from RNAcentral. Lineage: Bacteria; Bacillati; Actinomycetota; Actinomycetes; Bifidobacteriales; Bifidobacteriaceae.
GCGGGUGUAGUUCAAUGGUAGAACAGCAGCUUCCCAAGCUGCCAGCGCGAGUUCGAUUCUCGUCACCCGCUCCA